UAUUAAUUUAAUUUAAAUAAAUACAUAUUAUUAUCGGGGUGUUACAACUCUCCCCCACUAAAAGAGUUUUCGUCCUCGAAAACAUACCUCAAGCGAACAACUCCGGAUAAGACUCCUUCAUCUGACUCUCGAGUUCCCAAGUCACAUUGCCACCUGCUGGUCCUCCCCAAGCUACCUUCACCAAGGCAAUCUCUUUACCCCGCAACUGCUUCAACUCUCGA
This 221-nucleotide long non-coding RNA is filed under the name Lathyrus oleraceus (garden pea). RNAcentral describes it as "Pisum sativum (pea) long non-coding RNA (PSAT_LNC038913)". Lineage: Eukaryota; Viridiplantae; Streptophyta; Magnoliopsida; Fabales; Fabaceae. The record is from RNAcentral.